Molecule: transfer RNA, 64 nt
Filed under: Scolytinae sp. BMNH 1039990
Lineage: Eukaryota; Metazoa; Arthropoda; Insecta; Coleoptera; Curculionidae
Description: tRNA-Ser
Source: RNAcentral
AGUUAAUGAGCUUGUUAAGCAUAUACCUUGAAAGUAUAAGAAAGAAGUAAAAUUCUAUUAACUU